UUCUCGCAACAGCGAUAGUAGCGGCAUCCUUUUUUUGCUUUUCGCAAAAAAAGAUAUAGCGGAUAGCGCGGUCUUUU
Molecule: non-coding RNA, 77 nt
Organism: Flavobacteriaceae bacterium CG2_30_34_30
Lineage: Bacteria; Pseudomonadati; Bacteroidota; Flavobacteriia; Flavobacteriales; Flavobacteriaceae
Source: Rfam